UUGUUUUCUUGGUAACUAAUUCAGUUCUAAGAGUUAUGAACUGUCUAUUAACAGCAAUUAAAAUUAUGUUUCAGUUCGUCAUAUAAUAAAGGAAGCAUCUGAUGCACUAAUUGAAAUUAAUUUUUGAACCGAUCAUUUCUAUUUGCACUGCCUAUUAUAAAAGUGUUUAAUUUGCAAUAAUAGUAAUGUAUCUCCAUAAAAGGUUCUCAGACAUCUAUUUCUGCUGCAGUCAGUACCUGUUUAUAUGUAAUUGUGUUAAUUUUUUUGUUCAGGAUGUGUGUGGAGAGAAUAUGACUGAGGAGCUGAAGUGUGCAAUGUUAAUACAACAGAGCCACAAGGGUCUGGACUCUCUACAGUGUCAGAGAGAGGGCAGCUCGAAUGCAUUAAAGACUGUAGAACAAGUGGACGGAAACCUAACAGAGGUUGAGAAACUGUCUGAGGCCCUGCAGACAAGCUGUACUCCAGAGGGUCAGACUGCUCUCUCUCCAGAAGCUCAACCGAUAUUUGGAAAGACACCAGCCCUGAGGAAGAUCUUGGAAGACGAGAGGACUAAAGAAGGGAACUCUGAUCUAGAUCAAUGUUCCAUUCAGUGCAUCGAGCCUCAGCAGCCUGGAGUGUCCACAGAGGAGCUCCAGUCAAUUCAGGUUAGUGUGGUGCGUCUUACACAGGAAGUGUUCGAAAAGAUUUUUUGGAGUGGUUUUGGUACAUUUAUAGAGUACAAUUAAGCAGUAUCAGUUCCUUUGAAUUGUUCCAAACUUUUGACUUUGUUCUGUAGAACACAAGUUAUUAUAUAUUUUUUUCAUGCAAUGUAUGUAAGUGUGGUCCAAAACAACAUUAUAUUCCACUGAUUUUUUAUUGAAUGUACUAAACAUUUUUCAGAACCUCUUUUGACAGAUGUAAGUGGGGUCCAAAACAACAUUAGAUUCCACUGAAUUUUUAUUGAAUGUACAAAAACUUUUUCAGAACCUCUUUUGACAGACGUACACUUCUUUUUUCUUUCUGGAUCUGGUUUUAGUGUCAGCAGGAGAAACAUCAUUGAGUGU
RNAcentral lists this long non-coding RNA (1043 nucleotides) under Carassius auratus (goldfish). RNAcentral's name for it is "lncRNA (ENSCARG00000052134.1)". The record is from RNAcentral. Lineage: Eukaryota; Metazoa; Chordata; Actinopteri; Cypriniformes; Cyprinidae.